This 301-nucleotide ribosomal RNA is filed under the name uncultured bacterium. Its description in RNAcentral is "partial 16S ribosomal RNA". It matches the Rfam family "Bacterial small subunit ribosomal RNA", at positions 509 to 807 of the family's 1533-position model. The record is from RNAcentral.
CAGCCGCCGCGGUAAUACGAAGGGGGCUAGCGUUGUUCGGAUUUACUGGGCGUAAAGGGCGCGUAGGCGGGCGAAUAAGUCAGGGGUGAAAUCCCAAGGCUCAACCUUGGAACUGCCUUUGAUACUGUUUGUCUUGAGUUCGAGAGAGGUAAGUGGAACUGCGAGUGUAGAGGUGAAAUUCGUAGAUAUUCGCAAGAACACCAGUGGCGAUGGCGGCUUACUGGCUCGAAACUGACGCUGAGGCGCGAAAGCGUGGGGAGCAAACAGGAUUAGAUACCCCAGUAGUCCCUGUCUCUUAUAC